RNAcentral lists this transfer RNA (67 nucleotides) under Parainocellia braueri. RNAcentral's name for it is "tRNA-Asp". Lineage: Eukaryota; Metazoa; Arthropoda; Insecta; Raphidioptera; Inocelliidae. The record is from RNAcentral.
AAAGAAUUAGUUAAAUUUAUAACAUUAAUAUGUCAUAUUAAAAUUAUUUAAAUAAAAAUAUUCUUUU